UUCCAGGCAAAUCCGGAAAAUCAAGGCUGAGGCGUGAUGACGAGGCACUACGGUGCUGAAGCAACAAAUGCCCUGCUUCCAGGAAAAGCCUCUAAGCAUCAGGUAACAUCAAAUCGUACCCCAAACCGACACAGGUGGUCAGGUAGAGAAUACCAAGGCGCUUGAGAGAACUCGGGUGAAGGAACUAGGCAAAAUGGUGCCGUAACUUCGGGAGAAGGCACGCUGAUAUGUAGGUGAAGUCCCUCGCGGAUGGAGCUGAAAUCAGUCGAA
RNAcentral lists this ribosomal RNA (270 nucleotides) under Escherichia coli. RNAcentral describes it as "partial 23S ribosomal RNA". It matches the Rfam family "Bacterial large subunit ribosomal RNA", at positions 1530 to 1791 of the family's 2925-position model. Lineage: Bacteria; Pseudomonadati; Pseudomonadota; Gammaproteobacteria; Enterobacterales; Enterobacteriaceae. The record is from RNAcentral.